Oncorhynchus mykiss (rainbow trout) is the source of this 1047-nucleotide non-coding RNA. The record is from the annotation of a RefSeq genome assembly. NCBI's taxonomy places the organism in Eukaryota, Metazoa, Chordata, Actinopteri, Salmoniformes, Salmonidae.
GAGGGCGGUCUAUGCAAAGUAUCCCUCCCCUUCAUCCCUUUAUAAUCAGAGACUCAACUCUGGUCUUCUCAUUAUAGGCAGCUUGGACUGACAUUAUAACAUUACAAGUCCUGUACUAACAAAUACUGAACAAUGAGGACUGCCUGGACUUUAGUACUCAUGGUGGUGUCUGUAAAAAGUGUUCAGGGUCAGACACUGACGGAGUCUGAAUCAGUGGUUAAAAAGCCUGGAGAAUCCCACAAACUGACCUGUACAUAUUCUGGGUUUGGUGGCAACAAUUGGAAUGCUUGGAUCAGACAGGCUCCUGGGAAAGGACUGGAGUGGGUUUCAGCUAUUACCAGCAGUGAUGGUGGUAGCACUUACUACUCCCAGUCUGUUCAGGGUCAGUUCACCAUCUCCAGAGACAACAGCAAGCAGCAGGUGUAUCUCCAGAUGAACAGCUUGAAGACUGAAGACUCUGCUGUUUAUUAUUGUGCCAGAGACACAGUGACACAGGAGGCUGCAGCGCUGUACAAAAACUUAUUAAGCAAGCACUUCUCUUACUGUGAGAUUCUGUGAAAUAUUUCUGAGCUCCAGUCUCUGUCAACAUAAAUCCCAUGGCCCGACCAACACUAGGAGAGAGUAGACACAUACUACUCUAAAUUAUAACCAUUAUUAUUUGAAAAGCAUAAAACAUACCUGUCAUUUUGUAAGAUAAAAACAUAAAUAUCUUUACAGCCAUUCAAUUAUAAUCUCUAGCAGCUAAAACCAUUUACCUCGUAAUGUCUAUUUGAAUGAAACCAAAUGUCAAAUUUCAGCAAACAGGAUUAGUACAAUAUGUAAUACAGAACCAUGAAGGUCAAUAACGUUAAAGUAUAGAUGAAACAAGUUUAGAUGAAACAAGUUUAGAUGAAACAAGCUUAGAUGGAACAAGUAUAGAUGGAACAAGUUUAGAUGAAACAAGUUCAACUUUUUAUGGCUGCAGGGGCAGUAUUGAGUAGCUUGGAUGAAAGGUGCCCAUAUCAAACGGCCUGCUCCUCAGUCAUUGUUGCUAAUAUUUGCAUAUUA